Triticum dicoccoides is the source of this 369-nucleotide long non-coding RNA. RefSeq lists it as uncharacterized. Lineage: Eukaryota; Viridiplantae; Streptophyta; Magnoliopsida; Poales; Poaceae. The transcript has 2 exons. The record is from RefSeq and is a predicted model, not a curated record.
AGGACCAUGGUUCACAAGUUCGUGAGGAUUUUUUUUAGGCUGAUCGUAAUGACAGGCACCAAGCCCGAGCAUGGGACGAUGUAUCGGAGCUUAAGGAGAGGGAAAAGGUUGUCGGUUCAGGCCAGGGGAGCUUAUUGGUUAAUAUUUAUGGCUACAUGAGGAAUAUGAACAACAAUCGUUGGAUUUGAAUUCCAACAACUAGAAGUCGACCGAGCAUGUAUGAUCAUUGUAAAAUGGACGGAGUAAUAUAGUCAUAGAUGGCGGUAGCCCUUUUAGUACAUGUGUUUUGACAAAGGGUAUUAUAUUUUGAUAUUAAAAUAACAUCAAUUACAUGAGAUCUAUGCCACGGCAAAAUAUUAUUGAGACCUA